UAUACAUAUAUUUUCCUUUUAAAGAUUUUGAUUGAGGAGUUACCUUAGAGUUAUAGGGUUAUAUAUUCUGCAAAUUUUAUUUUAAAUACGAUUCUGGUCUGGUAUUUUUGAAAUCAAAUCCUAAAGGGAAUAAAUUGGAUCUCGGAUACCCCUGUGCGUCUGGUGUGAACGUUUGACCUCUAAAUUCGGAACAGUAGAGAUAUAUCUGUUCAACUGUUUGAUGGAUUCGCCGUCUCUUUCUUUGCCGACAGAGAACGGGCGAAAAUUGACUGUAAAUAAUAUUGUACGGAAAGUUAACAGCUGCAAAUGAGUCAUUGUCAAAACUCUAACAGAUCAGCAAAGAGGUAUUUGAAGAGUGGAUUGGUGAUUUUUGAAGAGUGGAUAUAAAUUUGCCCUAGUUUGAUCAAAGAAUGAGAAAGUACAAUGUUAAGAACUGCAAAAGAGUCAUUGUCAAAGUAUAACAGAUCAGCAAAGAGGCAUUUGAAGAGUGGAUGUAAAUUUGCCCUGAUUUGAUCAAAGAGUAAGAAAGUACAAUGUUAACAGCUGCAAAUGAGUCAUUGUCAAAGUAUAACAGAUCAGCAAAGAGGUAUUUGAAGAGUGGAUGUAAAUUUUCCCCGAUUUGAUCAAAGAAUGAGAAAGUACAAUCGAAAAUUGAAAGCUUGUACUGAAUCAUGGCGGGAACAAUCUACAUUUGGUCAUGUACAGGAUGAUCAGGAAACUGUUAUUUACGGAGCGAGAGCAAAUUGACGUUUCGUGACUGCCUCCAAAGACAAGAUUCUGCUAACGUUUCAAAGACUUUCAGGUCUGUAAGCAGUGGAAAUCGAGACGUUUCGUGGCUCCGUACAAAGACAGGAUUCUGCUAACGUUUUAAAGACUUUCAGGUCUGUACGCACUGCAAAUCGUGACGGUGAAUAUUUAAAAUUGACAAAAAUGUUUGUGGAUGCGUUUGAAGAAAACAAAUUAAUUUUGUUCGGCACACGUGAAGAAUAAAUUUGGCAUAUGUAUGCUUGUUUGGAUCAAAUGCAUAGCUUCCAACUCAUUGAAAACCUAGUUGUUUGUCUUAUGCAUAAGCUGAGACCUGUAACUUUUUUGUUUUAAGGUCAGAAAUCCUUGCUGUUAUAGUUUAAAUACAGUCUGUUUUAUUGUACAUACAAUAUAUGUCCACUUCAAAUUUAUAA
Cryptomeria japonica (Japanese cedar) is the source of this 1178-nucleotide long non-coding RNA. RefSeq lists it as uncharacterized. NCBI's taxonomy places the organism in Eukaryota, Viridiplantae, Streptophyta, Pinopsida, Cupressales, Cupressaceae. The transcript has 4 exons. The record is from RefSeq and is a predicted model, not a curated record.